GCCUUCGUGGCCUAAUGGAUAAGGCAUCGGCCUCCUAAGCCGGGGAUUGCGGGUUCGAAUCCCGUCGAAGGUG
Molecule: transfer RNA, 73 nt
Filed under: Helobdella robusta
Lineage: Eukaryota; Metazoa; Annelida; Clitellata; Rhynchobdellida; Glossiphoniidae
Description: tRNA-Arg for anticodon CCU
Rfam family: tRNA
About the family: Transfer RNA (tRNA) molecules are approximately 80 nucleotides in length. Their secondary structure includes four short double-helical elements and three loops (D, anti-codon, and T loops).
Source: Rfam by way of RNAcentral